This 66-nucleotide transfer RNA is filed under the name Orestes mouhotii. RNAcentral describes it as "tRNA-His". The record is from RNAcentral. Lineage: Eukaryota; Metazoa; Arthropoda; Insecta; Phasmatodea; Heteropterygidae.
ACUUGAAUAAUUUAAGUUUAAAAUGUCAGCUUGUGGGCCUGGUUAUGUAUAUUAUUACUUCGAGUU